CAACCCUCAGCCUACCGCUGGUUCUGAACCGGGACGGGGUCACACCCGCACCGGUUUUAAAGUUGUAAGCUCUGCUGGUCGCCCUGCCCAACCGGAACAUAGUAAGCAACUACUCUUGUUCGGAGGUGAAGCAGGAAGCGGUACGGCCUGAACAAAACCUACCCAUUUCUAAG
RNAcentral lists this unclassified non-coding RNA (173 nucleotides) under uncultured Orbiliaceae. Its description in RNAcentral is "sequence contains ITS2". The record is from RNAcentral. Lineage: Eukaryota; Fungi; Ascomycota; Orbiliomycetes; Orbiliales.